This 253-nucleotide ribosomal RNA is filed under the name uncultured bacterium. RNAcentral describes it as "partial 16S ribosomal RNA". It matches the Rfam family "Bacterial small subunit ribosomal RNA", at positions 524 to 776 of the family's 1533-position model. The record is from RNAcentral.
UACGUAGGGGGCUAGCGUUGUCCGGAUUUAUUGGGCGUAAAGAGCGUGUAGGCGGCCCGGUAAGUCCGCUGUGAAAGUCCAGGGCUCAACCCUGGGAUGCCGGUGGAUACUGUCGGGCUCGAGUCCGGAAGAGGAGUGUGGAAUUCCUGGUGUAGCGGUGAAAUGCGCAGAUAUCAGGAGGAACACCAAUGGCGAAGGCAGCACUCUGGGACGUGACUGACGCUGAGACGCGAAAGCGUGGGGAGCGAACAGG